UACGGUCACAUCACAUUGAAACACCUGUUCCCGUACGUUUACAGAUGUUAAGAAACGUCGAGCCUGGUCAAUUCCUUGAUGGGUGACCGCUUGGGAAUACCAGGUGCUGUAGG
Molecule: non-coding RNA, 113 nt
Organism: Acanthosepion pharaonis
Lineage: Eukaryota; Metazoa; Mollusca; Cephalopoda; Sepiida; Sepiidae
Source: the annotation of a GenBank genome assembly